AGACCCGAAACCCGGUGAUCUAGCCAUGGGCAGGUUGAAGGUUGGGUAACACUAACUGGAGGACCGAACCGACUAAUGUUGAAAAAUUAGCGGAUGACCUGUGGCUGGGGGUGAAAGGCCAAUCAAACCGGGAGAUAGCUGGUUCUCCCCGAAAGCUAUUUAGGUAGCGCCUCGUGAAUUCAUCUCCGGGGGUAGAGCACUGUUUCGGCUAGGGGGCCAUCCCGGCUUACCAACCCG
RNAcentral lists this ribosomal RNA (237 nucleotides) under Salmonella enterica subsp. enterica serovar Orion. RNAcentral's name for it is "partial 23S ribosomal RNA". It matches the Rfam family "Bacterial large subunit ribosomal RNA", at positions 711 to 946 of the family's 2925-position model. The record is from RNAcentral. Lineage: Bacteria; Pseudomonadati; Pseudomonadota; Gammaproteobacteria; Enterobacterales; Enterobacteriaceae.